RNAcentral lists this long non-coding RNA (41435 nucleotides) under Mytilus galloprovincialis (Mediterranean mussel). Lineage: Eukaryota; Metazoa; Mollusca; Bivalvia; Mytilida; Mytilidae. The record is from RNAcentral.
AAGGAAAAGAUAACUCAGGCGAUUUUAAGAAAUGAAAAUAUGCAGACAAGAAAAUUAUUUCGUUUAACAGCUCUAAAUAAUUUAUUGAAAUGCUGCAGGUAGGUUUUGUUUGUGUUUAUAGUGCACUAAACGUUGCAAAAGAACAUCUCAAAACAAAUGACAACUCUGCGAAACCAAAAAAUAAAAGUUGUUAUCAAAUACCACGUCCUUCAACUUCAACAGUUCAACUUCAGUUAACCGGUACGCAAAAGAUAUUUGUUCUAUAAAUAGCUGCCUAUAAAUAACUGCCAAGUCACAAAACUUAAGAUACCUACAAGAAUCAUUAUAAUAAUUUAAAAUAAUGAAAUGAUACAGGAAUUUUAAUAAUGAAAUGAUACAGGAAUUUAGGAAUUUGAAUUAUAAAUGAAAUGAUACAGGAAUUUUAAUAAUGGAAUGAUACAGGAAUUAAUAACUGACUAUUCCAUGGGUUUUGCUCAUUGUUGAUAGUUGUUUGUUGACCUAUAAUUGCUUAUGGUUCAUCAGCUGUUCAUUGGAAAAAAUGUUGGAAGGAAUAGAAAAAUAUUAUAAAACAUAAUUUAAUUCUAACUACAGACAAAUCUGUGCACAUCAAUACUAUAUGUGAAAUUGCAAAAAGAUAAAUUGUAUCACGUUUCCCAAGACCUGGAAAACAUGAUGAAAUUUAUGAUUUUUGCAAUUUCACAUAUAGUUUUUGGUAAGGCCACACCAAUUUGAUUUAGAUAGUUCUUUGNNNNNNNNNNNNNNNNNNNNNNNNNNNNNNNNNNNNNNNNNNNNNNNNNNNNNNNNNNNNNNNNNNNNNNNNNNNNNNNNNNNNNNNNNNNNNNNNNNNNNNNNNNNNNNNNNNNNNNNNNNNNNNNNNNNNNNNNNNNNNNNNNNNNNNNNNNNNNNNNNNNNNNNNNNNNNNNNNNNNNNNNNNNNNNNNNNNNNNNNNNNNNNNNNNNNNNNNNNNNNNNNNNNNNNNNNNNNNNNNNNNNNNNNNNNNNNNNNNNNNNNNNNNNNNNNNNNNNNNNNNNNNNNNNNNNNNNNNNNNNNNNNNNNNNNNNNNNNNNNNNNNNNNNNNNNNNNNNNNNNNNNNNNNNNNNNNNNNNNNNNNNNNNNNNNNNNNNNNNNNNNNNNNNNNNNNNNNNNNNNNNNNNNNNNNNNNNNNNNNNNNNNNNNNNNNNNNNNNNNNNNNNNNNNNNNNNNNNNNNNNNNNNNNNNNNNNNNNNNNNNNNNNNNNNNNNNNNNNNNNNNNNNNNNNNNNNNNNNNNNNNNNNNNNNNNNNNNNNNNNNNNNNNNNNNNNNNNNNNNNNNNNNNNNNNNNNNNNNNNNNNNNNNNNNNNNNNNNNNNNNNNNNNNNNNNNNNNNNNNNNNNNNNNNNNNNNNNNNNNNNNNNNNNNNNNNNNNNNNNNNNNNNNNNNNNNNNNNNNNNNNNNNNNNNNNNNNNNNNNNNNNNNNNNNNNNNNNNNNNNNNNNNNNNNNNNNNNNNNNNNNNNNNNNNNNNNNNNNNNNNNNNNNNNNNNNNNNNNNNNNNNNNNNNNNNNNNNNNNNNNNNNNNNNNNNNNNNNNNNNNNNNNNNNNNNNNNNNNNNNNNNNNNNNNNNNNNNNNNNNNNNNNNNNNNNNNNNNNNNNNNNNNNNNNNNNNNNNNNNNNNNNNNNNNNNNNNNNNNNNNNNNNNNNNNNNNNNNNNNNNNNNNNNNNNNNNNNNNNNNNNNNNNNNNNNNNNNNNNNNNNNNNNNNNNNNNNNNNNNUGAACUCUUAAAAGAUUCAGUAAAUUAAGACUUGAGCAUAGACAUCCUUUUUGAUAGACUAUUUUAUUAUCUCAGUCAUAGCAAUUAUUUGAGUAUUUUGCCUUUGUAAUAGAACAAUAAUAAUUAACUAAGAAAUUGUUAUUUGCCAAAGAUGCGGAAAUGUACAGAAAUAUCACAGUCAAGAGUACUACAUACAUGUACAAGUUACUUUUAUUUUAUUUAUUUAAAGAAUUUAUUAGUAAGAUACAUGUACUUUUAAAAAUAUACAUACAACUUUGAUACAAGUGUAUUUUAUUUAAUUUUUCUAAUAUAUUAUUUUAUUGGCUAAUUUAGUUACAUGUAUGUACCAUAGACAUUAAAUUUUUUAACUUAUACAAGUAAAAAAAGUCAAACUAUCUAAAUUUCUUUGAGAUUUUUUUAUCAAACAUGAGUGUCUGUCCUUUACCAUAUGUUUACAGAUGUCAUUAUUCAACAUGUAUGUUUAAUUUUAUCGACAAUGAAAUUUGAAUCUAACAAAAUUUACUUAUAAGUAGACACAAAUAACUUGUACUAGAAGUACCCCUGUACUAGAAGUAACCAUGACUGGUUUCUUGAAAACAAAUGGUUGUUUUUAUAAUGACAUAUUAUUGCAAAAUGACUUAUUAAUUUUAGAUAUAAAUGGUUAAUAUCAAUGCUAGACCCUCACUUCUCACCAUUUACACAGACACCAGUCUUUAGUGUAACCAUCUUAACUGUUUUACCCUGGACAAAAUAGUUUUAAGUUUAUUUAUCAUGUUUAUUUAGCUAAUUAACUAUAUAUAUAUAAAUAUACUCUUUAAACAAAAAGUUCAUAUUUCCCCAUCUCAGAGUUUUAAUUUCAUUCUUGUUAGUUGUUUGUAUUAAGUAAUUAUCAACACAAAUUAUCAUAAUACAUUGUUUGAAAAUUUUAAAAAAAUCAGAUUUAUAUAAAGAAAUAGGAUGAGGUUAAUAACAAUAAAAUUACAGAUGGAAACAAGGAAUGUCACAGAAAAACAACCCGACCAAAGAGUAAAAAUUUAUUUGUGAAAGAAAAAAGUAGCACAACAUGUUUACCGGUACAUGUAUGCAUUGGUAAAAGAGAAAGCUAAUAAAUAAUUAUGACUUUUGAGAAAGAUCUUUGGAAAAAGGGAGAUGGUACAAAUGGGAUAAUCUCUGUUAAAAAGAUAUAAAAAGUACUAGAUUUGGCAACACUAUAUUUGUCUACUAUAAUGCCACUUCUGAAUUUCAUGUUUAAUUGUCGACUUAAUUCCACCAUAUGAUAAUACAAUGUAGAUACUACUUUUUGAAACACUAGUGUGAUUUUGCUGGGAGCAAAUAAAAAGAAAAUUAUGCCUGUCAAUAUUUAUUAUUAAAAAAAGUUCUCGCUUGGCUUUAAUUAAUGGGAAAAAAGUCCUUGCCCUGCUUAAAAAACUUAAGUACACAUAUGAUAUUUUUUUACGAAAUCAAUAAUACAUGUACAUAUAUCAGAGUUGAUAUUUCAACUAAAAUGCAUAUAUAUUUCAAUAUUAUAAAGACUUAAUUUUUGUGAAGGAAGUCAACUUAGGAGCACUGUGAUUGGAUCCAAGGGUACAAUAUUUUUUUUUAUCUAUCUAUGAGUCAUCUGUAGUUUGUAUAUUUCCAAAUUCAAUUUUGAAACCUUUUGAAAUAUCAUAUAAAUAUUCAUUAAUUUGGUGUUAAAUGACCGUGGGCAUCAGACUUCAGUUAUGUUUUUACUUUUUUGAAGCUUAGUACAUUUGAUUUUUAUCACAAAGUAUAGAAAUGUUUCACUGAGAACAUUAAUACUGUUUCGAGAAAAAAGUCCAAAGUCAUCAUAAUACGUCAAAUUGAUGGGUAAAUAAUUAAACUGCACCAAACUGUUGUUCUUUUGUAUUUGUUUUUACCUUUCACAAUGAUUAAUUUAAUUGGAAACUCAAGAAUUCAAGUAGAAACAAAUAUUUUAACUGGGUUAUUUGCCUUAUAUUCAGACAGACAGACAGACAGACUAUUUUAUUUUUUUAUUUUAUAUUUGCUUUGUAAUUCCCUAAAUGUAUCACUUGGAUAUUUCUCUAUAGCCAUAAUCUAUUAAAAUAAGAAAUGUUAAAUUGUCCAUCUAAGAAAAAAAGAGACCAACCUGAGUUGAGGCUUAAUUUGGAUAGAAUUUAUAUUCUCCUGUGUAAAGAAUUGUUCACAUUCUUGGCAAUUCAUUCAGCAAAUAUUUCAAUAUCGCUUCAUUUAGUAGUUUCUAUCUUUUUUUUUAUAUCAGGCAUAUAUACAUUUUUUUCAUUUCAACUGUUUGCAAGGACUUUUGUUGGAGAUUAAUACUCCCAAGGGACAUAAUUCAGCUGUAUCAUAGAUUACGUUGACAUUCUUUUAAUGCUCUAAAAUUUAAUUUUACACAGGUAACUUUUAUCUAAAAUAGGUGAAUCUUCUGGAGUAAACAACAACUUUAAAUGAUAAAUACUACUUCAUAACGUUUGACCUCACGGGUGUAGUAAAAUUUGUUGAUUGAUGCAUGUGGCUAUUCUAGUAAAUGAAUUAAUCUACUAAGCGAGAGCACUUAGCCCUUUUUGAAAGGCUAAUGCUUGUUUAUAAUACAAUUGAAAUUAUUUUCUGUUUACUUUAAGCAUUUGUUUACCAUACGUUAUGCUAUGUUUAAUUCACAUCAUUUUUAGUUUUCAGAUAUUUUAUUUAUUACAGACAAUGCUUAAUAAUAAUGUACUAUAAGCAAUUUAAUAUUAUUUAUGCCCCACCUACAAUAAAAGAGGGGCAUUUUGUUUUCUGGUCUGUGCCUCCGUUCCUUUGUCCGUCAGUUAGUAUGUCUGUGAGUUUGCUCGCACCACUUCAGGUUAAAGUUUUUGAUCAAGGUAGUUUUUUAAGGAAGCUGAACUUGAUACUAAGUACACUUGUUGUUUAUGAUAUGAUCUUUCCAAUUUUCAAGCCAAAUUAAACUUUUGAUCACAAUUUCAUGGUCAACUUUUCAGAGAAAAUGAAAGUGGGAGUUUAAGGUUUAAGUUUUUGGUCAAGGUAGUUUUUGUUGAAGUUGAAGACACAAAAACACACAAAAAUGUAUUGAAGCUCUGUAUUAGGUUUUAUUGGUUUACAUUCAAUUGUGCUUUUUUUUCUUUCAUUUUUUUCACAGAAAUAACAAAUAUGUGUAUAAUAAAUAAGAACAUUUAGACCUAUAAACAUAAUGCAUUCAGAUAAUGUAUAAGUAUAUGAACUAACAAUCAUCCUCAAGUCAUUGAUUUGUUAAAGUGCUGUUAUUCAAUUUGAUUUUAAAAAAUAUAGUUUUAAUCUUUUACACUCUUGAUUUAUGUGAUAUUGUGUCAUAGAAAUGUAUUUGUAUUUAUUGCUCUGAUAAGCAUAAUGUGCUUAAAGUUAUAAAGAAUUGAAUAGAAUUGAAUUGAUUUAAUCAGUGGCGGAUCCAGGGGGGGUUCCGGGGGUGCGCACCCCCCUUUAUUUUUUCACGAUCAAUACAUUUGUAUCGGGACAUGUUUUGCACCCCCCUGCAUCCCCCUUUGCCCUGGGUUAGCACCCCCCCUUUCGAAAAUUCCUGCAUCCGCUCCUGAUUUAAUUGUUUUAAAAUGCACACAUGAAAGGGUUAUUAAAAAAGAGUGCACCCCCCAUAUGUUAGUUAAUCAACUUUUCACCCCACUCAUUAUUCGCCUAAAAAAAUUAUGUGCCCCGUCCAUGUUUGCACUAGCCCAACCCUCAUAUAAAUAUUGCACAGUCCCUUAUAGGCGCUUUAUUCAAAUUAAUUUUCUAUAUUCAACACUAACAUUGUAUAUUAACGGCAUGGGACAAACUGGCUUAAGAAUAUAUUUUUUUGUCAUCUGCUUGACCAUGAUAAUUUUUUUUAAGAAAAAUCAUCCCCCUCCCCCAUCCUAGUGGAUAGUCCCUCACAUAAUUAUCAGUGACUAUAACAAAUGAAUAUUGUCUACCUUUUUUGAAAUAACUGAGUCCCAUCUUAUUAUGCAAAAAGGUUAAUAAACAGGAAAUUUUGUCUGACAUCUUAGCUGCAUGUCGUUCAGACGACAGAGCUAGAAGCUGAUUCAAGGUGAAGGUUGAAACGUUGUAUCAUGUGACAUUUUUUCUGUGUUUGCCAAUCUCGUGAACAUUGACAAACAGACAGAUUGAUUAGACAGAUGGAUAAAUGUAGGAUUUUUAGAGAUUUUCUUCAUUUGUUUUUCAAACAAAGCCUUUUCUAACUUUACCUCCUUAUCCAGGUGAAAAUAGAAAUGGUAAUGUUGCACUUAGGCCAACCAUUUGAUUAGGAGGGGGUGGUGGUUAUAAGUUUGUUUACAGGUUUUGGAGAGAAAAAAAUAUUUGUUUUUGACCAGUAAAUAGGAUAUGUAUGUUGCAUCUUCAUGCAGCUGCCACUAUGACUAUGUGUAAUAUGAUGCUAAAAUUGAAAGAAAACAAAUGGAUUUUGAACUAGUCCCCAAAAAUAUAGAUUGUUUUUGCCAAAGAAAAAAGAUGUUUGUCUUGAAUUGAAAUCCCCCUCCCGAUAAUCAAAAGGUUGCAGCCUCACAAAACACAGCAUAGUUAUUUAUUUAGUCAAUAUUUAUAGUGAAAAGAAAAGUGUCCAUUUCAGUAGCAGAUCUAGAAAUGUUCACAAGAGGGGGUCCACUGACUAACUAAGAGGGUCCCUGCAUCAGUCAUGCUUCAGUGAUUUAUAUAAGCAAUCAAUUUUUCCCACAAAAAGGGGGGGUUCCCUAUGUAAAACCCGCUUAAUCCACCCCUGCUUUUCAAUGAUUUUUUUUUAUUUAUACUUGUAGUGCAUUUCUUAUCAGGGUUCUCUCUAAGGCAAGUCAAUGAGUCCCAGACUCAUCAAAAUCAGUUAAGACUCAUCAUGUUCAAACUUGCAAUUCCAAAGAUGCAUUAAAAUUGUAAAAUUUAUUGUAUAUACUGCAGGAUUGAUCACAAAUUUAUCUCUAAAGUUUAAAUUAAUCUAAAUUAUGUGAAUUUUCCUUGCUCUAGUAUUAUCAAGGGGACUGCAAUUAUGUAUAAUAAAAGUACAAGAAAUUAUAUCACUGUGAAACUGGCUAGAGAAAGUUAAAUGUGAAAAGAAGUAUCUGUGACUAUAAGUUUGUUUACAGAAUAUACAAAAUAAUAAGAGGCAUUAUUGAAUGGUUUGAUUAAAUGACAUUCAAGUGAAAGUAACUUUCUACUAGUCUUGUUAUAUUAGUGAUCUGAAAAGUAUUGUUAGUUAACUUAGUUCUCAUUUUAUGCUAUUUCUUCAGUUUUUCACUGUUAGGCUAUAAGGAGGCCCUAAAAAUGUUCAUUUGUAUAACAUAGCAGGGAGAUAACUCUUUAAAAUCAUUUGAAUAUUUAAAUCACAUUCAACACUUGUUUUAAACACAGAAUACAUAUGUAAUGUUAACUGGAAGAAAAACUAAGUCCAUUCGAAUGUAAAAUAUGGACAUAAUGGAUUUAUUUUUUACAAAAUUUACUUCUGGAUAUUAUCUUAUGAUCAUAAAUAAGCUUCUGUCCAAUUCCUGUACAAACCAAGGAUAGUUUAAGAAAGUUAUUAAAAUUUUAAAAACUUUAACCACAGAGUGAAUGUAAUGUUUCCCCGCAGAAAAACUGAGUCCAUUUACAUGUAAAAUAUUGAGAAAUGGAAUUUUAUUUUUACAAAAUUUUCUUCUGGAUACUAUCUUAUGAUCAUAAGGUCCAAGGACACAGUUAUCUUCCUUUGGUUUUCGUUGUCUACGAAUAUAGUCCCUAGUGUAAACAGUGUAUAACUAACAUGUUUUAUUUAAUACACUUUCCCAAUUUAUUUCUUUAUAUUAAAUGCAUGAAAUAUUAAGUAGGGGGAUGUAAUUCAUGUCAAAAAAAUUUUGGUGCUGAAACUUUUUGUUAAGUAGUGAAUUGCAGGGAUGAUUCCAGGUUUUUACAAAUGGGUCCCUUAAAUAUCAAAUUGGGAAUUUUUAUCCCAAUUGGGAAUUUUUUUAUGCAUACAAUAUAAGACGAAAUAAUAUAUCAUUUUCCUGUAAAAACGGAAAAUGAAUAUUAAGUUAAUUUCUUCUGUACACUGAUUGAAGAAAUUAUUGGAUUCAGACCAGGGAAGUUGUAAUACAUGAAUAUCAUUGCAUAUGAUGCACUAUCAUCUUAACUUUGGUAAACGAGGCCUAUUACAAAAAAACAUAUAUACCACAAGUACCAGCUAACAUAAAUCUAUGGCAAGCCCUUUAGCUAUUUAUUCGAAUUUCAAAUUAUCUCAUAAUAUAUAUGAUAUCUCAUAUAAUAUAUAAGAUUUAUUUAAGAUAUCUUAAAGUAUAUGAAAUAUCUUGUAAAUAUGUUUUGUAUAAGAUAUCUUAUUUAGUUCAUUCAAUAUCAUAUUGAGAAAAAUAUAUGAGAUAUCUUAUAAACUACAUGUAUAAGACAUCUCAUAAAUUAUUUCAGAUAUCUCGUGAACUAUAUAAGAUAUCUUAUAAACUUUAUAAGAUAUCUUUCAAACUAUAUCAAAUAUCUAAUGAACUAUUAUAUAAGAUAUCUUAUAAAGUUUAUGAGAUAUCUUGAAGUUAGAUUAAAGAGCAAAACGGCUUGCCAUAUUAACCAGUGAAAAAAAUUUAAAUAUAUUUCAAAUAGAACUGGCCAAUUGUUGAAUUAAGAAAAGCAAUUACAAAAGUAUAUAUAUAUAUAUAUAUAUGCUUAAUUGAUAAGUUAUUUAAAGCAAUUGAACCAGUGAACUUUAAAAUUAUUUGGAUCAUUUUCAUAUCUUUUGAAACAGUUCCAUAAUUCACGUUUGCGUUGUCGUCUGUGGCGUCCGAAUAAUUUUAGUUUACGCAUUCUAACUUUAGUAAAGGUGAAUAGAAAUCUAUGAAAUGUUAACACAAGGUUUAUGACCAUAAAUGAAGGUUGGGAUUGGUUUUGGGAGUUUUGAUCCCAACAUUUUAGGAAUAAGGGGCCAAAAAGGGCCCUAAUAAGCAAUUUCUUGUUUUUCGUUCUAUAACUUUAGUUUAAGUAAAUAGAAAUAUAUGAAAUUUUGACAUAAGGUUUGUGACCACAAAAGAAAGGUUGGGAUUGUUUUUGGAAGUUUUGUUUCCAACAGUUAAGGAAUUGGGGACCAAAAAGGGGCCCAAAUAAGCUUUUUUCUUGAUUUUAGCACCAUAAAUUUAGUAUAAAUUUAUAGAAAUCUAUGAAAUUUAAACACAAGGUUUAUGACCGUUAAAGGAAGGUUGGGAUUGAUUUAGGGAGUUUUGGUCCAAACAGUUUAGGAAAAAGGGGCCAAAAGGGUCCAAAGUUAAACCAUUAGAAUAUCAGAUCAUAAUUUUUUGCACAGAUGUUUCCAAAAGAAGCAGAUGUGAUAUGAUUGCCAAUGAGACAACUCUCCAAAAGCUACCAAAAUGACCAACUAUAGGUCACUGUAUGGCCUUCAACAAUGAGCAACACCUAUACUGAGAUGAAAUUGUUUUAAUAAACAUCAAAAAGGAUAUUUUAUAAUUUACAACCUAUAUUCAUGGAAUGCAAGAAACAUGUUGAAAAAUUAAUUAUAAUUACACAGAGAGUGUUCAUUUAAUAAAUAUUUGUUGGCCUAUCAGCAUGAUAUAAGUAUCAAAAACAUUUUGAUAUGAACUACCAUCAGAAUAUCAUCAGUUAAGGAUGUUUGCUGCUCAGAUUCAAAAUAAAUAACUUUCCAAAAACUAGUAUGUAUUGAUAGGGGUUAAGUUGAGGAUUAAAAAAAUCAAAAAGAAUAUAGGGGUCAAUGUGAUUGUUUUUGAGAUAUUAGCCAUUGGAAUUUUGGCCAGAAAUGUUCUCUCUUGACUUGUCUAGCUUUACCAUUGACCAGUUAAAAGUUCUCAAAAACUAUUUAAUAUAAUUAAGAUUUAUAAGACUGUCACAAAUGGCUUAUAAUUAUACAUAUGUAUAAGAUUUAUACAAAGAAAAAUGGGGGUUCAUGGUCAAAUUUUUUUAAGGCAUUCAAAUGGAUAAAACCAGAGCAUUUCAAAAGCUGACAAAAUUUCCAAAACAUGACAAGCAAACAUCCUUAAAUAUAAUUGAAGACAAUUUUGGUAAAAAAAAUUUGUAUCUCAAAUUUGAUACUAAUAUUUAGGUUAAUCAUGGAUCAUAGUUAGACUAUACAAAUCAUUGUUUAAAUCAAAUAUUAUACAAUUAUGUUAAAUAUCAAGAUUUUUUAUACUUAACAACAUCAAAUUGCAAAAUAGGGCCUUGCUUAUGCUCAGAAAAAUAAAAUAUGAUAUAUAAAGCAAAGCAACAUUAUCUGAUUAUUAGAAAAUAUGAUAAAAAAAAAACUUUACUUUUAAAAAUGCAAUAUUCAUGUUCAUAUUCAUAAACAGGUGAGAAAAUAAUGAAACUAAAAUGAGUUGAAAUGGUUUAUUGGGUCUAUAAUGGUUGUGUUUGAAUAUUAUUAUUUUUUACAGAGUAAUUAACACUCCUCCCCUCUUUUUCUAUCUGUCCUCUCAAAUAAAAAACCGAAAUAAGUAACUUUACUAGACAGAUUUUGAUGCCUUAUAUUAAUUAUUCACAAGUUAAUUAUUUAAACUAAUUACUAUAGUGUAUUUGCAACUCACCGUAUUUUGCUGGUUUGACAUCUGACUUGUUGAUCUACUACUAGUUGGCAGAGAAUAAGUUGGCUGGUAUUGAUGCAUUAUCUGGUUGUUACUUCUCACAUUGUUAAGAUGUGUAAAGGUUGGCUGGUAGUGACGUUGAUAUUCCAUGUUGACAAGCAAACAAUGAUGUGCAAGAAUUCAGUUUUACUUUUUAUAUAAGGUUAAAAAGAUGAUAAUUGAUUGGUUAAACAUCUACUUGUGUUUUCUAUUUGAAGUUUUACAGGUGUUAUAAUAACGAUGAACAUGGCUUCAAUGCCAAGCUGACAUGUGUAUAGCUCUUGUAAAUAGAAAAUGCCAUUUCUAUUGUGUUUUUAAUUUUAUGAUUGGCUUUGUGAAGCCAUUCAAAUAUAUCCUGAUAGGAAACUUCAAAUGAUGAAAGGUUGUUUGCAAAUUCAUUAAAUGUUUGGAUUGUUUUUCCUAAUUGCUAUCAAAACAACAUUUAAAUUAUUUUACUAUGUAUAAUACAUUUGAAAUGUUGUGUACAAAUAUAUUUGCAAUGUUAAUGAUAUACAUUAAUUACAAUCAGAAGUUUUAUGUUUAUAAUACAUUUAUAUUUAUAAUUAAAGUGUUUUUGAAUAAAUAUAAAUGUAAAUUAUUUAUUUUCCUGCAUCCUUGUGCAUUAUAUGUAAAGCGGUUUUGUGUUAACAUUUUUAAAUAGUACUAUUAACUUUAAAGUUUAUAGCCCUAACCAGUAAUAUUCUUUAAUAUAUGAUUAUGUGAAACAAUUUAUUUGCAAAAUUUGUCAAAUAAAAAUUAAUUCAACAGAAUCAAAAGACUUGGUAAUCUAUGAAAAUCCACAGUCAGUCUGCGGAUGAUGAGAUUCACUUAAUUUCAUUAUGUCCAAGAAAAGCUAGAUUAUAACUUAAAUUUUACUUUCAAAUUCUACACAAAAUUAAAAAAAGUAUAAAAUUUAAGCUUAACCUUUAGAAAGCAUAUUUCCAUAAUUUUUACCUUGUUAUAUUCAUAUGGCACAUAACCAUGACAAGAGCACCAGAACUAGUAUAGCAAUUUAGUAGGUUGAUUUUUUUUAAUUUUGUUUCAUAAUUAUUUAUUUUUUAUAUCUUAUCAAAAUGACUUUUUUUCCUUGAGGUUUUGUGACUUUUUUUGUUUAUGUUUCUACUCUAUAUUAAACAAACCAGUACAUGUAUUAUUAAAUGUAACACUUCAAUCCUUCAUAAUUAAUAAUUUACAAAAAAGUUCCAAUUUUUUUUCACAAAUGUUUUUAAAAUUAUAAACUUAAAAUUUAAAAGCUCAUUAAUUGGUAACCGUAUGUAUACAUAACAGCCACUAAAGAAAAAAUAUGUAAAUGUUUGAAAAAUUUACAUUAAGGCCAUAUUACAAAUUUUCCAUAUUUUUAAUGAAAAACAGGAAAAUAUGGGCUAGUUGUCUUCUCAAGAAACACUCAGAUCUCAUGCAUCAAGGAUUUGUAUAGUUAGACUAACUAUACAAAUUCUUGAAUGCAUCAACAAAAAAAUCUUUUGAUAUAAUUUUUGUUAUUUCAAUUAAAAUAAUUGACAAGAAGAUUAAGAUUGUUUAAAAACUGAUACACUGUGGUCUUGAUCCAAAUGUGUUUUUAAAUUAUAAACUUUGUUUAUAACUUGUAUAAAAACACUAAUCCUAUCCUAUCCACUGGAAUUAAUGGUUAAAGUUCAGUUUAUAAUUUUAGUUCAAUUAGUCCAGUCAAACUAAAUUUUAACCUCAAACUAAUUGCAACAGAUAUUUUAGCUCACCUGGCCCGAGGGGCCAAGUGAGCUUUUCUCAUCACUUGGCGUCCGGCGUCCGGCGUCGUCCGGCGUCGUCGUCCAGCUUCCGGCGUCGUUAACUUUUACAAAAAUCUUCUCCUCUGAAACUGCUGGGCCAAAUUAAACCAAACUUGGCCACAAUCAUCAUUGGGGUAUCUAGUUUAAAAAUUGUGUCCGGUGUAAAAAGUGAAAAUUCUUUGUAUCAGACCAUACUGUCUGCUUAAACAGUUGAAUGUAAGAGCCUUUUUUGUGCUCAGAUUUAUUGCAUCAUGUCACCUGAGUAUAGAAAUGAUAGAAAAGACACAAAUUUUUAUUUCCUAUAGCUCAAAUAUGCAUUUUUAAAUGUAAAUAUGUGCUACGGCCUAAAUUGACCCUAAAUUAUUUUUAGUCUUACUUGGCCUAAGACCCUUUUAAAUUAAUAUGAUGUUAUUUGUAAGUGUUCUGUCCAUUUAAAGUACAUUAAAUACAUAUAUAACAUGUAUAAGGAUUAUUUCUAAUCAAAAAGCUUCACAAAUUUAAAAUUGCUGGAAAAUAUUACAUCUUUAUAUAAGGUCCCCCUUCAUUGGAAAACCUCCAUUUUUAGUCAUAGGCUCAUAUAAAGUUGACUUUUGAAUAAUUAUGCUAAGUCUGAUGUAUGUAUCAAAUGAGUAAUCUAUUGCUUUAAAUUACAUGACAUAUUAUAUAUAUAGGCAUUUUGAAAGUAUUUUUUUGCAAUAUUUAAAUUUUAAAAGCCUCAAAUGUUGAUAGUUGAAAUUUCUCAAUUUUAACGUCUGAAUUUAACGCACAAAGUUGAAUAUAGAAUUAAUCAUAAUGUCUUUAAUAUAUAUCCUAUUGCUAUGAAACUUUGUAAGCAGUCUUAGAAUAUAUUAAGCUUUAGUCAUACCAAGUUUUAUUAAGAUUGAUAAACUUUUUCUAUCCUAUUAGGUCCGAGUACACAGUUAUCGUCCUUUGAUUUUCGUUGUCCACGAAUAUAGUCCUUAUUGUGGACAGUGUGUUACUUGUCAAUUUUUGUUAUACCCCUUCCAAAUUUAUUUCUCCAUGUUUUAUGCCUCAUAUAGCAAGUUGGGGGAUGAAAUGACACUGUAAAAAAAUUUGGGUCAUAAAUAUUAAUGUAAAGUAGUGAUAAGGUUCAGCUGAAAAGGUCACAAAUUAGCACUUCGGAAGCUUUUCCAUUUAAAUUCUCUAUUUUAUUCUCAAGUCAUUUGCAUGAUCCAUAUACCACUGCAGUAGUUACAGUCAUUUUUUUUCUCUAUUGCAGGAUGACAUCAUCAACAUCUUUGUCAUAUGAAGUAUACAGCCAUACCAUCACCUUAAUGGAUAACUUGAAGAGACAAUGCACAUGUUCAAAGUGUAAUGGAAAAUUUGUCAACAUUAAGACUUUCCGAGCUCAUUCAAAGAAAAUCCAUAACACCCAUGCUGAAAUAUCAGACACUCAUAGAGAACAACCUGAGAUUGUAAGAGAGUCUAAGGAACUUUUAAAAAAAACUUUAAUUUUAAAUCAGUCACUCCAUGAAGGAACUAAUAGAACUGUAAAAGAUGCCAUAGCCGAACAUUUAUUCAUAUUUUCAUCUAAUAACGGAAUGUCAAAGACAGCUUUGUCACAGUAUCUUUACCACGAAAAGUGUGUUCUACCACAACCAAACAACCUGCCAUCCACUUAUUGUGAAGCUGUCACUAUUAUUCAACCAUACCUGAUGCCAAUAGAAAAAUUUAAAUGCUGUACAAAUGACUGUAAAAUUUUUCCUAUCAGCAGUACCAUUCUUGCCUGUCCAGACUGUAAUGAAAGUUUGGUGUUUUCAAACAACAGGAACAAAAAAACAUUCCAAUAUAUAUGCCUAUAGUACCACGCAUAGUUCGUUGGUAUGGAACUAGGAACCUGGCAAAGAUUCUUUAUGCCAACAAGCUUAACACAACUGGCAGGCUAAGCAGCUACACAGAUGGCAAUAUAUUUCGACAACAGAUGACAGAUGGAGUCUUCAAAGAUCAGCAACAGCAGAACUGUGUGCCAUUGGCUCUUUUUGCUGAUGGUGUGAAUCCAAAUAAGAACCAAACAGUCCAGAAGUCAAUAUGGCCUCUCAUCAUCACCUGGAUAACACUCCCACAAGAAAUGCGAUAUAUUUUAGGACCAAUGAUGUUGGCAGGUAUUGUUCCAGGCUAUGGUAGAAAAGAACCAAAAUCACUGGACCCUUAUAUUAACGUUUUAGUUGACGAACUUUUAUCAAACAUUGAAUGUAACUUGUAUGACGCCUACACAGAUGCACCAGUAAAUGUAAAGAUUGCUUUAUUACAGUAUUUAUGUGAUAUACCAGCUUUUUCUAAACUUUUACACUGUUCUGGUCAAGCAGCUAUUCGUGCUUGUUUUUUCUGCAAAGAUACAGGUGUCCAUAGCAGUUCCGUGAAUAAAGUAUUGCACAUAUCGAACAGAGAGUUUUUACCCACAGAUUCGCCAUUUCGGAAAGACAAGACAUUAUUUGCCAAGAAAACUGAAGAGGUUGCUCCCAAACCACAAGCAUAUUCAAGGGAAGAAGAAAUGGAAAUAAGAAAAGAAUAUGACAAAAAAAAAAACAAUAACCAAAAAUGUAAACUACAAAAAGAAACUGGAUUUAAAGGGAUACAUCCACUUCAUCGCCUACCAUAUUUUGACAGGGUGCAUCAGAUGCAACCAGAUGGCAUGCACACAUUAGCAGAUGUCAUCAGCAACAUUCUUGAUCUGAUAACAGGCAAAUCUGAUGGACCUAAAGUUCGCCAGUGCGAAAAAGAUUAUAAUCGAUUUAAAGAAACCUGGCCAAAAAGACCAUCAUUAUCAACAACCGAAUGUGAGAGACCAUCCAAACAGGCAAAGAAAUCAUCUGUAGAUACAGCUGUUCCUGAACCAACACCAAAAGCGCCUCCUUUACCAGCAGCUCCUUGGUUACUAACAAAACAGGAUGUUAAAUUAGCUGACAACAGAGCAAAGAGUGUUAAAUACCCUAAAGGCUUUGAUUAUACUCCUGCUGACCAUUUUACCAGAGCAUGGACACUGCGUACAAUGCAUGGCAAACAACAGGUAUUGAUUAUAAAAAUAUUUUAUUUAAUGAAUUAGAUAUGAAUACUGUAAGUUCAGAAAUUAUUGCUUGCAUUUAUUAUUGCACCUUUUUUUGGGGACUAAAAUGCAAUUUAGAUUUUAGCAAUAUUUAGAAAAAUCCUGUUUAAUUCAUAUAUAUACAAAAUUUCCAAAAUGCAAGGUUAAGGUGGUACCUUACACUACAGGGAGAUAACUCUUUUAAAUCGACGAAACAUUUUAGAGUGUUGUGUUGUUAAAGGAAUAUUGAGCUUCUCAAUGAUCAAAAUUAGUGUUUGUCAAAGCAACCAUUCAGGGGAGGGAAUAAUAACUCAUAAUUAAUAAUAAUUUUAGAUAAUAUUAUAAUUAUUUGAAAGCUGGAAAAAAGUAUAACUUUUGUUUAUUUCUGAUAUAUAUAUAUAUAUAUACUGAAAGUAUGCCCUAUAUAUCUAGUAAUAUAUAUCAUUUCAUCCAAAUGCUUUGAAUCUUUGUAUUUUAACAAAAUGCAGUUACCAUGCACAAAUGCUAUGAAAUAUUCAAUAAAGUGAUCUAAAAAAAAUGAUUAACUUGAAGAUAGAAUUUAAAGGAAACCAAUUACAAAUAUGUCAAGUUCCCUAAACUGAGAAUUAUUGAAAAUAUCAAUUAUGACAAUUAAUAAUGUCAUUAAAGAUAAAAAAAAUAUUUGAAACUUUUGAUAAAAGUCAAAUGUGUAAAUAUUGUAUUGGGUUUAUUAGAGUACAGUUAAUUCAGUCAUGACAGAUACUUGUAUGAUAUAAGUAUUUUUUUUUUAGAACAUUUGUUAAUUCAAACUCAAAUAAUAGUGAAUAUUCUCCUUUUAUUCAUAUUUAUAUAGAAAAAUACUUUAUUUCAGUUCGUAACCAAGAAUAUUGCAGCAUGGUGUAUCAGAGGCCUCCUAGCAAAGCCACAAGAAGAAACCUUAUUCAAUUUAUUUGAAGUGAUCAAAAGACUGACACAACCAUCCUACACAACUGAGCAGCUUCAAGGACUUAUUGAAGACACAAGUACAGCAGUGGUGUUACUUGAAAGGGAUUUUCCUUUGACCUUGCAGGUUAGUUUAUCUACUUAGAUGUAUGAGUUCUAUAUUCAUCCGUAUUUGCAAUUGAAAGAAUCAAGUAAACAAUAAUAAUUACUUUAUCAUUUUAAUUAUCUCACACAAUUUACAGCAGGAGGCUUACAGUUAAUAUCCGUACACCCCUGAUCAACCAAAAUAAAGUUAAUUCUUAUAAGAUUUCAAAACAUUUUGUUGAUGCCUCUCCUAGGAAAUGUAAAUGAUAAAAAAAACAACGAAUUGAAACAAGAUAUUUUGUUUAUUGAUUAAAAAAGGCAUGAUUGUUUUAACCAUUUAAAUUAAUUUAACAGUUUAAAAAAAAAUUCUGCACAUAAUUAAAGAUUGCUUACUACUACAUGUACUAGCUGCUAAGGUAGAUGGAGUUUUAUUUUACAGCCUUAAUUGUAAUUGUUCAAUCAGAUUGUAGAUUUUUGCCUCAUAAGAAUUAGUAUAUUUUUAUGAUCUAAUUUUCCAAAAGUAUGCUUAGAGAGCUGCUGAAUAAAACAAAUAAUAUCAGGCACUAUUUAUUUUAAGUACUUGGGGUGCUAUCAACAGUUUUUUCUAUGAUGUCAUAUUUUGAGGGCCAUGCAUAAGUGACCCUUAGUGGUGGACUGAUUUAUAAAGAUACCUGUAUAAAACUAGAUAUCACUGGAAUCAGAAUGUUCUCUAGCUUCUUAUAACCUUGAUAGAAAGUUUUAUCAUAUUAAAAAAGAAGCCUAAUUUGAACAUAAAAAACCUGAAAUCAGGUUAUGUUCAUACCCAUACAGACGUGCACAUUUUAUAUAAUCAAAACUGUAUGAAAUUUAUAGGUUUUAACCAGGCCUUUGAAAAGUACGGUCUCCUGCUCCGAAAACAGCUACAGUGGCUGCAAAUAUGUUUUAAUUUUUUCACUGCCUAAAAACAGGAUGUUUACAGUGUUGUCUGCCUUCAAAACAUGUAUAUUUAAUAUAAUUUUUAAAAUUAUUUCAAUAUUCAACCUUUUUUAAUUGAAAGCUAAUUACUUUAGCAUUAAUUGAGUAAAUAAACAGGGGUUUCCCUCCAUGGUUAUUUUUAGUCAGGGAAUAACCCCUGUUGUUUAUAUGAAACUGUUUAUAGCACCCUUAUAAAUGUAUACAUAAUUUAAAAAAAAACGAUUAAAGGGCAGAUAAAUUGCGGAAUGAUAUAAAAAUGCAACGUAAGAAGAUGUCACAUAAUUUCAAAAAGCCAACUCUCUCAGUGACCAAUUAAUGGACUUUCAGUCUGUGCCAAACUGUUUUAGGGUUUGUCUGACCGAAAGAGAAAUCUGGGUUUUUGUACAUAUAUAUUCAAACAAAAUAUUUCAAAAUUUCUGUCUGUCCGAAUGAUUUUUUAUCUGCCAUUUUGUCGUUCAGACAGAGUUUGGGAUACCCUUGACUUUGAUGUUAAUAAUUAAACAUGAUGCUUGUUGAAAUAUCAAUUAAAAUAAGCACAUUCAAUUAUUUCCCUUGCAAUAAUUUCCUUCACACACAUCCUGGAGUUGUGUAUAGCUGAUGUGUUAAGUUUCAUCAGUAACAUCAUAACAGACAGACACUAAACGAGUGUCAGUACUGUAGUCAGAAUUAAGGUUUAUAUAAUUUUCUUUUCAGAUGUAGUACUAUAUAAUACCGAAUGAAUUUAUAAUUUUUCAUUUGUUUAAAAUAUUUUUAUUUGUAGAAUAUCACAACACACCUGCUACAUCAUAUCCCAGAGGGUUAUGAAGACUAUGGACCAUUGUAUGAUAGAUGGCUUUAUCCUUUGGAACGAGCAAACAGUUGGGUGACCAGACAAAUUUUACAACAUGGACAUGAAGAAUCAACAGUGAUGCAGACAUACCGGGUAAGUUAAAACAGAAUUGAAUAACAUAAAAAAGAAGAUGUGGUAUGAUUGCCAAUGAGACAACUGUCCACCAGAGACGAAAACAUUAAAAACUAUAAAUCACCGUAUGACCUUCAAUAAUGAGCCACAACGAGCAGACCACAACAUCUUAUAUAUAGAUGAUAGGUUAUAAAAUGAAGGCGUUUUGAGUUGCAUCAAAUUUUCAUUUUGGGAUUAAAAAUGUAUUGAGAAAGAUGAAUAAUACUAUGAAAACAAUAUGUGCAGAGUUAUGGUCCUUGGACUUUGAAAAUUCACUCUAAUCAUUACUUUCUACCUUUUUUUUAUCUUCUUUAAGAUAUUGACUUGAUAUUUGUUUGUACUUUACACCUUGACAAGUGAUAGUCAAAGCAUUUUGUUGCAGUGUAAUGAAAUUUUAUAAGUAGGGAUCUAUGUUUUGCCUUACAAUACGCUCAAAAUGCUUGGUGAAAUUUGAAUCAAGGUUCAUAUUAGCAAGUUAUAUUGUGUGUUGCAUUUUCAUAAUUAUCACUAAAAUUAAACCAUUAAAGACCAAAGAACGGUUUUCCACAAAAAACCUUAGCUCAUACCAAACAACUUCUACUAAGGGCCCCAAAAAAUGACUAGUGUAAAACCAUUAAAAUAGGAAAAAACAACAGUCUAAUUUUUAUAAAAAACGAGAAAUGAAAAGAAAAAUGAACCACAUCAACAAACGACAACAACUGAACACCAGGUACCUUAUUUAAGACAGUUGUAAACAAAUGCUUCAGGUUUAAAAGUCAACACAUAUGUUUUUAGUCUAACACAAGACAGACAUGAUUUAUAUGGUUGUCGCAUUUUUCUUGAGAUACUGCAUAUGAGGGUUCACAUGAGCACCCUAUAUGUGAUGGUUUUCAGCAUUUAACAUUAUCUAUAUACAAUUUGCUGAUUUGGCUUUCAAGAGUUAAGGAAUACAGCCUUGUUAAGAUACAAUUUAUCACAUCUCAUUCACUUACUCUAGUAUGCAUAAAUUAAUUUCCUUAAUUCAUAUUUCAGAUAUACGAUUGGAGCUCUCACAAUAUUUUGAGUGGUGAAAUUAUAAAUUACAGCAGACAAACAAGUCUGUGUCGCUUGGCAGAAAAAGUAAACUCCAUUCACCAUCAAGAUAUAUCUACAGCAUCUACGAAAAGAUUCAUAUUGCAAAGUGAGGAUCUAUCAAUUCUAAAAGACAAUUACAAUAAUAUAUAUGACCAAAAUUAUGAGUUAUUUGACAUAGACCCAGUGGUCACAUAUCUAAAGUUCAGCCAAAGACAGGAUGCCGAGUUAAAAAGACAAAUUUUCUUCUCAACAACAGAGCAUCAGACGACAGCAUCACGCUCACAUGACUAUUGUGUUAGUGUUUCGCAUAGGACAAACCGUCGCUUUGGCACAAUUUCUAAGAUUUUCAAACACAACCAUCUAGAUAAAGCUACCAUGUGGGUAAAAUUGGAGAUGUUUCCCAUUCCGGAACAAUCUGGACUAUUCUUGGUCACCGAUGACAGAAAGAUUGACACACAUAUAUUUAGCUUUGAUAAAAUAAGCAAUCCAGUUGUAUUUGCUUCAGAAGACAAUAAAAUAUGGUUUUUAAAUGUUUAGGUAUGCAUUUAUACAUGUACAUGUAUUUUGUAUGAAGUAGAUAAAUAGUUUAUAUACUUGGAAAGGUACAUUGUUAUGUAUUUUCUUGCUGUAUAUAGAACGAGUUGUUCAAAAGAAAAAAAUAAAUGGAUAAAAAGAGAUUUUUUAAAUGGAAGUCAACUUUGCUUUUUUCUAUGAGAUAUUCCUUUCAAAGGGUGUAUUACGUUUCCAACAUUUUUUUGCAUUACUUUUCCAAAAUAAUAGUUGCACCUUAACGCAUUUACCUGUAUUUCACCUGUAAAAAAUGGUAAUAAUAAUAUAUAAGACUUAAUAUUAUUAUAGUAUUUCUUAGUAAUUUGUAAUUAAUGAGUUCCUUCAAUAGGUAGAUAAUUAUUGCAUUAUCCAAAAUAUUUAAACAAAUACCAUACAUUUUUGUGUUUUAGAGACAUUUUUUUUUCAACUGAGCCAUUUAAGGGGAGAUAACUCUUUUAGUAAAAAAAAGUUACUGGUCUGAUUGGGAUUUUUUUUAAAUUUUACUUGUAUCAAGAAAGCAGUUCAGUGACACCACUUUUUCUUUUUUUUUUCUUUAUACAUAUUAUAAAACCUAUCUUCUCACAAUUUCUUUCAAUGAAAGUUCUAUCUCAUAGAUUUUUUUUGCACAAAAAUGUGUUUUUGCAUGAUCCUACAAUUUUUCAAUGACUCAUAGUUUUAAAAAUAGCACAGAGGCCCAUUCUUUCUAUUAUAUUUUUUUAAAAGAGCAUAUAAAAAUCUUCAAUUUAGCAAAGUAUAAAAAAAAUGAAUCUCAGGAAACUUACAUAUGAUCUGCCUUAACAUUGUGAGUACUUUUUAAAAGUUAUCAUGUAGAAAGUGGACCCAUAUUUGAUGAAUUCAGUUUUUUUGUUAUAUCUUUUAUAUAAAUUUGCAUAUGUUUGAUUUAUUUUUUGGACACUCAAUUUUAUGUCCUGAUUUGGUUUCGGUCAGUAUUAUCAAUUUAAAAAGCAAUGAGGAUAACGACUUCUAUAAAAAUUCAGAAACGUAGUGUCAAAACAUUUAAAAUGUGGAAACCAAAACACACAUUUCACAUCCUACUUUUUUCUGUAAUUGAAAAAAAAAAAGUUCCGAGCUUUCAAAUUACAACCAUUGUACAGGAUAUUUAUUCUGCUUUAUUUCUCUUUCUAGAAUUUACUGUUCUUUUUCAAGUUACACUUAAAUUAUUACUACUGAAACAAAAUUUUGGCAAUUAAAUAUUUUGUAUUAAAAUGUUUAUAUGUAAAUAUUUUGAUAAGAACAAAAAUUAAUAUUGGUAUGAAAAUGUUACAAAUACAAAUGUGAGUAUGGUUAAAUAUAAACCUAUUUAAAUAUGGGUUACAAAUGUUAAUUUAUACAUAUGAUAAAUAAGUGCUUAAUGAUUGAAAUCACUCAUACUGUAGACCUAUUUCAUUUUACAUGCAUAAUAUUCAAUGUUUAUAUGGCUAAUAAACAAUUAUUGACCAAAUUGUUGUUUUUAUAAUUUGCAUUGUGAUAUUGUAUUCUAAUUCUUUUAGUCUAGUUAAGCCAUAAUAGAAAUGAAAACAAAUCAGCUCAAAAAAGUGUUUAUGACUGUAAGACUGCGUCGAUACACAAUUCAGAUGAAAUUUAUAGUUGAGAAUGUGUCUAGACAUAUUAAGACAUCAUUAAGAAUGUCGAGAUUGUGUCGAGACAUAUUCAUACAUCAUUAAGAAUGUCGAGAAUGUGUCGAGACAUAUUCAUACAUCAUUAAGAAUGUCGAGAAUGUGUCGAGACAUAUUCAGACAUCAUUAAGAAUGUCGAGAAUGUGUCGAGACAUAUUCAGACAUCAUUAAGAAUGUCGAGAAUGUGUCGAGACAUAUUCAGACAUCAUUAAGAAUGUCGAGAAUAUGUCAAGACUUAUCGAGACAAAUUCAAGACAGUCGAGAAUAGGUCAAGACAAAUCAAGACACAUUUUAGACUGUCGAGAAAGUGUCGAGAAAAAUCGAGAAACAAUACAGAUAGUCGAGAACAAUGUCGAGAAUAUAAAUACAUAUUUCAGACAAAUUAAGACUUUGUCGAGAAUUUUUACAAAAAUUUCAUACAAAACGAGAAUGUCGAGUAAAAGUUCAUGCAAAUCGAGACAAAAACUGGUCUUUUCAGACUUUUGGAAUUUUGUAGUGAGGGGAUAUAGGUUUUCAUCAAUUUGAAAAUAAAAUUAAUAUGUCAUUUUUUUUUUUAAAUCAUGUGAAUUUAAUAUCAAUUUCAUCCAAGACAGAAAGCUCUAUCUAUGUCUAUACUAGUCCGAGAUUACUCUGAAGAACAACGGAGCCCUGUUUUGCCUGACAAGCUGGGACCGUUGGACAACACCAUAUCUUGUCUGGCUAAACAGCCGUUGUAUGUCAGACUAAUCUCGGACUAUGUCUGUUGAAACGAAUGAUCGGGAAUGACAAUGGUUCUAAUGAGUACUGUUGUGAUCAUGGUGGUCUAACGAAAGAUAAAACGAAAUCCAUUUCAAAUAACUGUGUGUUUUUAAUAACUACUUGUCCUAUCUCCUAUGCAAAGAUCUGACACAACUUCAUGUUGGCAUCCCAAUUUUUGACCUUUUAUUAACAAAUCGAUUUAUCACACGUGCGUUUGAAUCGAUUGGAGCAAUAUAUGCACAAGAAAAACGUCUACAAGAAAAAAAAAUGUCAAGGAUUAUCUAAUUUUGGAGCGGCAUGCAGCCCAAAAAUUUGCGGAAGCGGUAAUUAUUUUUUUUAUUAAAAGUCAAUUUCUCCAAAACAGGAGCGGGAAAAUCCAAAGAACUAUUAAUCAAAUUGGUGUGGCCUAAAAAUUAAUAUUAACACUUAGCUUCAACCUAAAAAAUAUAUAACACAGUUACUUCUUUGUUGUUGUAGCAAACUAUCUUAUUGAAUAAAGCUGUUGCUCAUAUAUGUAUAUAUCUAAAGCUAAAUGAUAUUAUAAAGUCUUAAAAUAUGGCAUUUUGAAACUUUUUUGAACUAAAUUUGAAAAGUUUGAAACUCGAAUGCCACUAUGUUCAUGAUGUUAGACUUUAUUGCCCCUUGUCUUUUUCCUAUUUGCAUGCUAAAGUGAACAGGAUUGGAUCUUUAAAACACCCUAUGUUUCAUGAAAAGCUAAAUUUUCAAUUAAUGAAUUGGUAGUCAGUGUGUCUUGUUUUUUAUAUGAAAAGUUUAAUCUAAACAUGUGUUAACUUGACACAACAGGUUUUAUUUAAAAAUUAAAUCAAGUUUUUUUGAAUUUCAGAUCCUAUGCACAAGCCUCUUCUGGCAACAAACAAAAAUGGAGUUAUGCCCAUGGCCCAAGUGAUACACCUUUACUAGGAUCUACCAUAGGCCAAGCUUUACAGGACUGGACAGAACUGAGACCAGACAAAGAAGCUGCAAUAUUUUGUAAAGGCAAUAUAAGAAAAACUUUCCAACAAAUCCUAGAAGAGGUAUUUUAAUACAUUUAUUAUUAAACAGUUUCACAUUUUUGAUAGAAAAAACAAAGGAUAUAUGGUAUCAAACCAUGACACAGUGUCACAAAAUUUGUAAAUGCAUAGCAUAAUACACUCAAAAAACAAACGAAUAAUAUUGUUAUUGCUGUUCUUCAUCUGAAAGUCAAAGUGAGGCCUUCAACAAGGAGCCACAAAAUAUAAAAAAUAAACAUAGGUCGCAAGCUUUUUCAUGUUUUGGGCAGAUUUUUUUUAUUACUCUGCAAUGUUCAAUUUGGUUUUAAAAAGAGAAAGAAAAUAUUUUGGCUUAUAAGGAUAGUGUAUUAUCAUAGUACAUGUAGUACAAAAAAUGUAGUAUCUAUAAUUAUCUAAAUCACUUACCUCAAGUUUGAUAGAAACUUGCAUUGUACUAAAAUAAAAAAUAAAAUUUAAAUACUUUGAUUAUUUAUAAAGUAAAAAAGUAGAUAUAGCAAACCAAGGAGAGAUAAACUGGCAGUCAAAUAAGUCACAGUUUAAUAGAUUAGUUUUGUUUUUGUUUUAUUUUCAGUCAGACCAGUUUGCAGCUGGACUAUUAGAGCUUGGCAUUAAACGAGGAGACCGAGUAGGAAUAUGGGGACCAAACUCUAUAGAAUGGAUACUUACACAGUAUGCCACAGCUCGAGCUGGAAUUAUACUGGUAUUUUAUGUUAAAUAUGUAUACAAAUUUUAUUGGUCACCCAAAUCAAAAACAAGAAAAAUGACAAUAUACAAUUAUGUCCCAUUGAAAAGGUGAACAUCUAAAAUUGCUAACAACAGAGGGCACAGCUUGAAGUAAAAUAGUUUUUUAGGGUUGACAAUUUUGGAUACUCAUGCAGCACUUUUAAGUUACCACACUUAUUAUGCCCCACCUGCGAUAGUAGAGGGGCAUUAUGUUUUCUGGUCUGUGCCUCCGUUCGUUCGUCCGUUCAUCCGUUCGUUCGUUCGUUCGUUCAUCCGACUUCAGGUUAAAGUUUUUGGUCAAGGUAGUUUUUGAUGAAGUUAGAGUCACAACUACUUGAAACUUAGUACACAUGUUCCCUGUGAUAUGAUCUUUCUAAUUUUAAUUCCAAAUUAAAGUUUUGACCCCAAUUUCACGGUCCACUGAACAUGGAAAAUUAUAGUGCGAGUGGGGCAUCCGUGUACAAUGGACACAUUCUUGUUUUUUUAUACUGAACUAACAGAGGAACAGCCUUUUAACCCAUUGAAAAAUCACUUACCUUACUGUAUAUAUAGUAACAAACACAAGUUAAUGUUCGAAAAUAAAUUUGUCGUUGCAUUUCUCAUAUUUACAACAAAGGUAAAACCUUUUUGUAAAAUAUUGAUGGCCCUGAAAGGGACUUUUUAUAAAAGAUACAUCAUCAGCACUAAAUGUUUGUCCAAAUCUUUGUUUUCUGUUCUCUUGGUGGGCUUCCUGUAAUGUGUAUCAUGUUGUUUAUUUACAUCAGUGACAUUUUCAUGAGAGAUAACGCAUGUUCAAAUCAAGAAACUCAAAAGGUUAAACGCUAGUGAAUAGUAGGGUUAUUCACCGCUGGUGUCAAUUUUAGGGGUUAUUUGUCCUUCCUUGCAAUCUUGAUGAACAACUGAAAGAAUAUACAAUGUAUCAUCAUUCUAAAAGUUUGAAUUGGAAUUGAAAUAUUUCUUUUUUCAGGUCAAUAUAAAUCCAAUGUACAUAGCCAAUGAAAUGGAAUAUGUGUUACAACAGGUGGGAAAUGUCUGAAUAUUGAAUUAGUAUUAUAAUUUAAUGAGUCUGGUUUAGAUUUUUUAGAUAAAAAAUAAAGUUUAUUGAGAUUUUUUAAUGCAUCGUAGAGAAAAUUGCUCCUGAAAUUAUGAAUGCAUAAUUUUUCAAUAUUGCUAGACUGAUUUUGUAGCAUUUUUAACAUUUAUGAACAAGAUAUCUCAAUACUUUCUGAAUACAUUAAAAAAAACUAUUUUUUCUAAGAUAUCUUUUAAUAAAUAAGAUCAUAACAAUGUGAUGUCUUAUGCUAUAUCUAUUUCAUAUAAUCAUUGUUGGGGUUAAGACAAAUAUUGUGAUGACAGAUAUGCUCAAAUUUUAAGAUUCUACUCAGGUCAACCAAAUUAAAAUUCCAUUUAAAAAAUCAAAUGGGCAUAUAAUUUUAUACAAAGUUUCUUUAUCUUGUUACAAUUUAAUUGCUUUAUACAUGAUAAACAGUUGUGUUUUUAUUUAUAAAAGAAAUUUUGCAUUUAAUUAGACUGGUUGUAAAGCAAUAAUAGCUGCAGAAGAGUUCAAAGGUCAUGACUAUUAUGAAAUCCUGUUCCAUUUGAUACCAGAACUAGCCAGGUGUGAAGAUGGCUUUGUCAAAAGUCACAGGUAUAUUUCUUUAUAUAAGGUUGUGUUUAGAUUUUGAUAUAGUAAAACAGACUUUAUUGAACGGAAAAGAUAUUGGACUCUAAGUUGCAAUUUUCAUUGAUUUUAAUCAUACACAUUAUGACAAAAUAAUCAUUUUUAUAUUGGCAGAAGUCUAAAACCAGCUUAAAGUAUGGUAAACUCUAAUGUCUAGCCUGCAGAAAAUUGGUUACCUAAUUUGUGUAAACAACUGUUCCUAUAUUUAUUAAACCAGAUCCCUGAAACUUCACAGGAAGAUUACACAGAUGUUUAAGUUGUGCACCUGUCAUUAGGGAAAUGUUUUUUUAUUAAGAUUUGUUUCUUACUUUUCGAUACUUGGCGAAUUUAAUCUUUUUUCCACAAAAUUUAUGAAGUUUUAUAUUAUGAAGUUCUCCCUCAUUCCCUAAAUCUUUACAGAAGCAUUGCACAUAUGUUGAAGUUGAGGACCUGCUAUUACGGCAUUAUAAAAGGAAUUUCUGGCACGGUUUCAUGUUAGCAACCAAACUUGACCAAGAAAACAUGUUUAUUGAAAAUGAUUAAAAAAUAUGCAAAUGCAAUAUCUGUUCCCCCGUCAAUAAUGAACAAAGAAAGAUAACUCCUAUUCAAUACAAUUUUGAGAAUGUAUGAUGAUAAAAAUAUAGUGUAUCUGACUUUAGUGGUUAAACAAAUGUUGCAAGAAAUGAACUAUAAAUUGCUGAAUUAUAAAUAUGUAACCUUUAUAUAAUAUUUAUAGGUCACACUUGUAAGUUAUAACACACAUUAUAUACUCUGAAAUAUAUUAUUAUUAUUGAAAUUAAAUAACUCGAGUUGAUAUCAAUCGAUAUCUAAUUCUCACUCGUUAUGAAACCUAUAAUUAUCUUUAAAAGAUUUUUAAUAGGCUUCUUAUAGCCUUUCCUUCCAUCAUCCCAACUUGAGGUCACAAGAUUUCCAAGUUUGUCUCAUCACUCAGUAAAUAAUUCUACAUUGUUUAAUUCUGAUGCCCAUGCAAAUGUUGUCCUUUUUUCAUAUCAAACAGGAAGUUGUGAAAAAUGCUAAAUCAAGAUGUAUUACUGUUAAAACUGUUUAAAUUGAAAAAAAAUUUUCAGUUUGUCUACCAUUAUUUUUCUGUCAAAUGUGUUUGUAUUGAACAUCUGCUAAUUAUUUGAAAAUAUUUUGGGCAGUCUAUAAAAAUAUAAAAUCGUUUAGGACAUGUAAGUAACUUGACAUUAUUUUGUUUACAAUGGAGAGUGUAAUGCAAAAUAUUUUUUGAGUUGCAGAAAUGUUUUGGAGGGAGUGACAUAUUUGACAGUGUUAUAAUCAUAUUAUGUUUUUCAUAAACCAUAUCGCAUAUCUACUUUUAGAAAUAUAUAAUUAUAUAUCAAAUAAUUUAUUUUAUCUUGCAUUUGCACACCUUAGCAUCAAUCUCUUUAUUAUGUUGAACAAACAUAUGAUGUUUUUUUUUAAAUAUAUACAGUCGAACCUGUAUAGAAAGGUCAUCCUCUGGACCAAAGAAAAAUAAGAGAGGUGACCUUUGAAUCAAGGUUUAAAAUGGAUAAGUCUUACUACAGUGGGACAGAAAUAGGGUGACACAACAGGUUUUCCCUCAAAAUCGAUUGUGACCUAUAUAUCAGAUGUAAUUGUACAAGCAGUGCUGUCGGAAUACCAAAUUUAUACAUAGUCAAAAUGUACUAAAAAAUAUGGGAACUAUAACGAUGAAGUAGUCGACAUGAAAUGAAAAAAAAAAACCCAUUAAUUUUCAGGCCAUUCAAAAUGAUUCUGAAUGAUUGAUCCAAUCCACUAUAGAUAACGUUUCAUUAUUUUGCUGCUUUUUUAAAAAUCAGUUGUCAGUUAAUAAUGUCAACCAGACAACUAGACAGUUUGAAUAAGAAAAACAACUUGCUGUAUAGAUGCAAUCAUUGUCUCAGUUUCCUAGAAAAUGUCUUAGAAAACUUCUUAAACAAAUCAUAACCAUAAGUUAAUAUAAUUUCAUAGGUAAGUUAUACAGCAGUAAUCAUUUGUAAUAACAUUAAACUAUGAUUUGUCUUGUUGAUCAUCAAUAACCUUUCCAAAGAAAAAUGAUCAAUAUUUUAUAUGGCAAUGAAAUCUGUUGUUGAAUUAGUCCGACUUAUAACUGUUAUAGAUGUUGAUAGAUGUAAGUUUGUAUUUCAGGUUACCGGAUUUAGAAACUGUUAUAAUGAUAGGAGAGAAGAAACACCAGUAAGUAGUUUUUUUUAUUUUUUACCUAAUCAUAUAUUUGCCAUUACAGAAUCUAAAGGACUGUUGGUAUUUACAUUGUGCAUACCUCUAAAAGGAAAAUUUAAUUAUAUCAUGGUAUUGGUUGAAUUUCAUUUAAAUUUGUUAUGGGAGUUUAUUUACUAAUCAGUUUGACAAAAUAUGCACUAGAUUAUAAAACAGUAAUUGUUAGUUCUAUAAAAAGAACAUAUACCACACUUAAAUUAUAAUCGGAACUUGAAUGUGCAAAAUUAUUUGUUUUUCUUUGUACAGUCACAUAAUUCAUGAAAUAAUUAAUCAAGGUAAAACAGUUUUCAAAUUAUAUGGUACUUAAUGCAGAUCAUCUGCUUUACAGUGAGCUUUUGGUUUAAAUGUCAAGAACUACUUAAAAAAAUGCAUUAUUCUAGCAUUUAAUUAUUGGAUGUAGAAAUAUAUUUUAAAUACACACUUUAUGUCUUCAUAUAUAUCAUGAAUAUUAUAAUAUACUAUUGAUUCAUUUAUAUUCUUUAGAUACCAAAUUUUGUGAAUUUUUUUUGUAAAGGUGAACCAUCAAUUUAAAUUUCAAUGAAGUACACAUUUUCACAGACUUAAAAGCAAAACCAUCAAAUAUCCACAAAAAUGUCAUGUUUUUUCAAUUCAUGAAAAUUGGAAUCCACCAUAAUAAUUUAAUCUACAGUAUGUGCCAAACAAAUAAAAGAGUAAGCCAUUUCAAUGUUUAAUUUCAUUUUAUUUUUACCUUGAUAUAUAAAGUGGCACAAACCAAUGAACCAACUACUUCUGAUUUUUUUUGUUGGAUUGGUUACUUUGAAUUUUUAUGUUCAGUAUUUUAUACAUGUUAUACGUUUAAAUAUUUUUGUGUUUUUUCCCCAGGGGUACCUUAAAAUUCUCAUCUGUGUUGGAAGCUGGUACUAGUAAACGUAAAGCAGAAAUAAUGGACCUUCAGAAAAGAUUACAGUUUGAUGAUCCAAUCAAUAUACAAUUUACAUCUGUAAGUUAUCUUCUAUUUGGCAGAAAAAAAGAAAACCUGCAUGUACGGUACCCCACCUUUAGAACUCUUUUGGGACUACUUUAUUUUUGUGGGAAUUCAGGAUUGAAUUAGAACAUUGUUUUGUUUGUAAUGCUUUUUACUGGCUCAAAGGGUUUUCCAUCUUAAUUUUAUUGGCCAUUAUCCUCUUUUAUGAUGAAAUUCAAUUCAAACACAUAGAUUGUCCUAUAUAGAAAUGUACUGAACUAGUACACAAUUUAUUUAGGGACCUACUGAAGCUUGCCUCAGGCGCAUGAUUUUCUCGCUGUGUUGAUGACCCAUUGGUGGCCUUGUUGUUUUUGUCUGGUUGUUUUAUUGUCACAUUCCCCAUUUCUAUUCUCAAUUUUAUUCUUCAUCAUCUUUCUUAAAAUUUUAAAAACAAAAACAAAACAACAAAAUUGCCAUCUUAUACAGUAUCAGUAUAUUCAGAUUAGGUUCUAGUCAGGAACAUAUUGAUUAUAAUGAUUGCUUAGGCCACACCAAUUUAAUUUCUUGUUCUACAGAUUUUUGGACUCCAAAAUUUGGGGAAAAGCGAGCAUUAAAAAUUUUUAAAAAAAUAUUUAAUUUGCAAAUUUUGAGGCGAAGCUUGAAAAGUAAAGGCGAGCGAUUAAAUUUUUUUUUUGUAAACAUAAAUAGUAGGUUUGACAAUAUUAAAACUUAUUAUCAUUGUACUUGACUUUUUUUAAUUUCUAAAGAUUUUUCCCUGUUCACCAAGAAAUAAUUAAAUCUGGUCUAUGUAUGUGUGACUGACAAAAAAUUGAGACAAUUCUCCAUCCAAGUUGAAGUCAUAAUCAGUUUGGGGCACCCCUUAAUGUUAUAAAUAUCCCUUUUAAUGUUUUAUGAGGGUCAUAUAAGUAAGUUAUAAUAUAAUUGUUUGUACAAAGGGCUAAUAUUUUCUCAAAAACUAUAUAUCAUCUGGUAUAAAUGGUCAAAAUGUCCAAGAUUUGUAAAUUCUACUUUUAAUAACAUUAAAUUAACACAUUUACUUUAAGAGUUUAAUAUUUACAAAAUAAUUGACCCUCUUUUAGAAGUUGUUUGAAAUGAUGUAACUCUCCUCUUUUUGAGUACAAAAUUCUAGUUUUCAAGGUUUUGUAUAGAAGAACUAUACAAUCCUUGGUAUUUUAUUUUCUUUUCUACAUCAGUGAAAGACCCCUGUCGAGGGAGGGUUGUUCUAAACCUGAUAAUACAAACACAGGUAAAGUACGGCCUUUUAUACAGGGUUUGAUACAGACCAACAGCAAGUUAUAAGGACCCCAAAUUAUUAGCGUACACAAUCGAACACAGAUCAAUUUAUAUAUCAAACGGGAAAAUACAAUGAACAUCCAACAAACGAAGCUGCUGAACGACAGGUCCCGAAAAUCAGGACAGGUGCAUAAACAUGCAGCGGCUGUGGAUAGUUUUGUUUCGUCCGCAUACAAUAUAAUUGCAGUUGAAGGCAAAUCCUUCAAAAGUUCUUUGUACUUUAUUUUAACAACCAACAUUUUUUGAUAGGGAAUAUAAGUAAGGGGGAAAGAAACCAUUUUUUUGUUCUUUACAGGUAUUUCCGCUGUUAUAAAUUUAUAUCGGAGCACUCACUUUGGAUAAAUAGGUUUCAUGCUGAAACAAAUAUUCUCACAGAUAUUUACACAGUGUGGUGGGGUGCUUUUUGUAUUAAAAUCGAUAUAUACAGGUUAUACUGUAUUUUAAAACAAAGUUGAUAUCUUUUUGUAAUAUUUACAAAAAAAGCGGUGCGGGAAGACAUGCAUUACAUUCCGAUGCGGGAAGCAGGAAUAUAAAAAAAAAAAAAAAUUCUGUUUUGAAAAAAAUAGGUGCGGGCGGGUCCGUCGAACAAGGAAUCAAAUUGGUGUGGCCUUAGUUAUUGCAUGUACCAGAAACCUCUUUGACUGCAUCUAGGUCUAUUUAUAGAAACAUUAAUGUUUUAGAUUUUAUUUUUUCCCUAGGGAACCACAGGAUCACCUAAAGGAGCUACUCUUUCUCAUCACAAUAUUUUAAACAACAGUUAUUUCAUUGGUCGAAGAUUAGGAUAUCAUGAGAAGGUUGGUAUCAAUUAGAAUUAUCUCCUGAGAGAAUAUCUAUACACAAUAAAAAAUAGCUUCUAUAUUGUUUGUGAAGAAUUAGAGGGAGCAUUUUAUUACACAUGUUAUUUCAUUUUUAGUUGAGGAUUAAAAUUUUCACACAAAUAUUUCAAACCAAUGAACGGAGAAUUUGAUAAUUUGACAAUUUGACAUAAAUACAUACUGUACAUGAUGAUUUUUGUAGGAAACUCGAAUCUGCAUUCCAGUACCUUUAUACCAUUGUUUUGGUAUGGUAAUAGGAAGUCUGACAAUGGCAUCACAUGGUGCUACCUGUGUAUUCCCAUCACCUGCAUUUGAUGCUAAAGAUACAUUGGAAGCCAUCAGUAAAGAAAGGUAGAUUAUUCAUUUUACAGGAAUGGUACCUGCCAGUCAGGUAGAAUCUAAUGUAUAGAUUUUUGCUUUUCAGUUCUAAUAUCAGAUAAGCAAUGGAAUGUUUUCUUUACUAAAUGUUUAGUUCUUACCAAAUAUAUAUUGAUGUUAUAUUACUAUACUCUUUAAGUCUUAUAUCAGUUCCUCUCAGCAACAUUGCUAGAAAAUAUUGAAUUUUCAUAAAUGAAAUGCUAUUAACAUUCUAUGAUAAUUUUAAGUUAUUUACUAAUUGUAUGAGCACAAUAUAAGUAAUUAUAAACCAUAGAGUAAAUUGUGUCAGGAUUCAAAAAAAAUAUUUUAGAACUAUAUGCAAGUGGGGGCAUCAUCUGUAUCCCAUGGACACAUUCUUAGUUUAUUUUACUGGAAUUGAAAAGUACGCUACGAAAGUAUAGCCCUAUAUAAUUCUUAUAUGAUUUGCAUAUUAGGGAAUACGUUGAUAUGAUUGGUCGAGAGGACUUCCGGUAGUUGAUCUUGAUGUUGGUUAUUUUUCGAUAGAGGACGUUGACCAAACUUCUUUUCGUAACCAAUGUAAACAAGAUGGCGGCGAUGAUAGCACCGAUGUUAACAAAAUUUAUUUUACUGCACUUUAAUCGUUAAAUGAAAUAACAAAAACAAAUACAUUUGUUUGAAUAUAGAUAAGUGUUUUUGUAGUUUAUUUUUUAUCAGAUUACAUAUUUUUGCGUAAGCCAACAAAUAAAUUCAUGCAUCAUUCAAUGACACACAUAUACAAUUAACGUGCGAUAGAGGUUUCGAGUGUGGAAAAAUAUUUUCCUUAUCUCCAAUUUUAAAGAAUUUUAAGUAUUAAACGCCUUUUUAAAUGAAUUUUUUGGUGUAUAAACUGGACCAAGUCACUCUCAAACAUAUCAUAAAAGUCCUUCCGACUUAUUUGUUUAUGAGUGACUUGGUCGAGUUUAUACACCAAUAAAUUCCUUUAAAAAGGCGUUUAAUCCUAUUAUAUAAUAAAGUUACCACAAUCAAAGGAAGCACGGAAUUAGGGUAUAGAGGGUUUUUUAUCACGAGGCCCAAAUUUUCGCCUAUUUUCACCGAUAGAACAAAAACGUAAAAAUAAAUCCUGCCAAUUUAAAAUGGCACAUGCAAAGGUGUUGAUAAAAGUUUUGAAUCCGCCAAAAUAAUAAACGCAAAAAUAUUUUGUAAACCUUAUUCAAUGAAAAUCGCGAAAAAAUUACCUCCUAUACAGUAUAUUAACUUGGCCCAAGACAAGGUGUUAAGUCCCAUUCUAUUUAAGGAAUACAAGAUUAUUAUAUUUAUUUUAGAUGCACAUCUGUGUAUGGAGUACCCACCAUGUUUAUAGAUAUAGUGAACCAUCCAGAUUUACACAAGUAUAAUUUAUCAUCAUUGUAUACUGGUAUCAUGGCAGGUGCCCCCUGUCCUAUUGAGACCAUGAAGGAGGUGAUCGGAAAUAUGGAAAUGCCAGGUGUUACUGUAAGUAACUGAUUUCACUGUAUUACUGCCGUUUUAAUGCAUAAAAUUUUCAGGGGGUGAAAUGACACUGUAAAAAAAUUUGGGUCAUAAAUUUUAAAGUAAAUAAAGUAAAGUAGUGAUUUGGUCCAGCUGAAAAAAGCUAAAAGUUAGCACUUCGGAAGCCCUCAAAAGAUUUGAAGACCCCCUUAAAGGACCACUAGCUGUCAAAUUUAUGUUCACCCGAUUUUAAUCAAAUUCAUAGAUUUGAUUUAUAACAAUGUAAAACAUUUAUUGAAACUAUUAAAAGUCUAAAAUACACAAUUAACAGGACACAGGAAUGGAAAAUAGGUAGCUUCGUUUCGUGUGUAUUUCAAUCUAGGCGCCAUUUAAUUUAUUAUUGAGUUGACCUCGAAAAUCCUCUGAUGACCAUAUAAGCGAUGUAAACAUAAACAUAGAUAUAAAUAGAUUAAGCAGACUUGUGCUGUUGGAUUAUUCUAGGUCUAUUUGAUUUCAUAUUAUAUAUGAAAAAUAAAUGUUUAUCAUCGUUUUUACCUGUUUAAGAAUGAUAUUUUGUGGAUCUAAUCAGUCAAUCAAAUGAUUUACCUUUGUUUCACUUUCAAUGUUGACAUUCUUUUCCUUUAAAUAAAUUUACACAGACAAUUCACGUGAUAUCCAUCUCAAGUAAAGGGGUUAAAUUAAAGUUAAAUGAAUACGGAUUCAAUGAGAUCAAAUUAUUCACUUGCAAGUGAAUAAUUCAUGAUCAUUUUAUUUUUUUUUUUUUUAGCUAAUCAUACUAGCUGCUAAAAGCAAAUUAUUAUUUCACUAUUUGCAUUUCAUUAAUGAUUGAGCCAAAAAAAUAAUGUAUUAGAUUUUUCAUAUAUCUUGUAGCUAGUGCCCCUUUAACAUAAAAUUGUUCCAUAUUUUGAGUAAGAGAUGAUGAAGUUUUCUAAUAUUUAUAUGAUUUGUCCCAAAAGUAGUACAACACACUGUAAAAAUAAUUGAGAAAGCCUAGGUGGGAUUUUUUUUAAUUUUCACUUAUUGUCUAAAAGAAAUGCACUACGAAAUAACUGUGUUCUCAGACCCAAUGCAAGCAAAAAAUAAGCAGUGGUAAAAAAGUGUUUAAUUUGAUAUUUCAUAUUAUACAGGUUUGCUAUGGAACAACUGAGAAUAGCCCUGUCACAUUCCAGAACUUUAGAGAUGACAACAUAGAGAAAAAAGUAGGAACCAUAGGUAAACCACACCCACAUGUGGAGGUAAUCAUUUUUAUGCAGUUAAGCUGCAUUAUGCGAGCACCCUAGAUUUGUGGUCUACCCAAUAAAUGCUGAAAUACUUGCCAUUGUUAUUAUCUAGCUGGCUACUAUGUUAUAUAUAACUAAUUGAACACUUUUUUAAUACUUUUAAUUCUGGAUACAAAAAUAUAAUAGAAAAAAACCUUAAAUGAUCGUCGAAUCACCCAAAACUUUUUGAAGUUGCACAUAGGAAGUAGUGCUCAUUAGGAAUUCUUAUGUAGUUUAUUAUUGCCUGUGCUUUUGGCUAAGAUGUCAAAAAACAAUUGUAUGAAAUAUUUAAUCACCGAAAAUCUUUUAAGACAAGUAGUUUAGAUUUCCCAAAUGGCAAAAGUUGUAGGAAAAUUGUUUGUCAUGAAUACGUAGUACAACGUCAGUAGUCUAUUAUAUAAUAAGUUCAACUGUUCAUGCUGUUGGCGGCAAUUUCAAAUUAGAAGACGAAAUUUUCGUAUCUUUUCAAUUUGAAGGCAGGGGUUCAAAUUAGUGGUGGUCCGAGGUCCUCAACCUUCCACUUUCGACUUGGUUACUAGCCGCGCCCGACGGGCCUUCAACUCUGAGACAACUAUAUCACAGUUAUAGUAGUCUCAGUUCCACUUGAAAGAAAAUAAAAAUAAUGAUUGAAAGCUCAUUUCCCUAAUCACGAAUAAUAAACGUCAUAUAAGUAAAAGGUGAAAAUAAAGUUCCUGUCAUAAACAAUAUUACCUACGGGCAUGUACCCGUACUUAAUCCUAUUGAUUUUCAAUCACUAGUAAACCAAACUAUGACACGGUAAUUAAGAUGUCAAUUUUGUUCAAUCGCUAGCUAUAUACAGAAAAUCGCCGACAAAAAAUGUGUUAAUACGAGUAAAAUCGUAUCUGACUGACAAAAACAACAUUGAAACACGCUGUGAAAAGACAAUUACAAUAUCGGAUCCGAUUCCGGAAGCAGAUAAGGGUAAUUCCGGGUUUUUGGCGAAUCCAGGCAGGUGACAAAAUACAUCUAUGCAUGGUAAAUGAAUAUAAACACUAGAAUUGAAAACCAAAAGAUAUAUGUAAAAGAAAGAAAAGCAGAAAAUAUUUAAAACAGAAACUCAAUAUUACUUUUUGACAAAUUUUAAUGUCAAAAUCCAAUACAAUGUGACAGCUGGGAACAGUAUAUCUAACAAUAUAUAUGUUCCUGGUCACAGUAUAAAUUUUCUUUAUCAGUGAUAAAUGUUGAUAAUGCAUGUAAGAUGCUUUUAAAGUGUAAACAUAUUACUGCAAUUUUGAAGGGGUAUUUUUUUUCUCAAUUUUGAAGGGUCAGUUAAGGUAGCUGGAAGAUUCUUACUUUAUUUUCACAAAUAACUACCUGAAUGUAGGCAAAUCAUAUGAUAUAUAGGUGGCGUCCUUUGGGCCACUCUACCCCCUCCUGUUUGGGAACUUACGAAACGGUCGAGAUCCCCUACCCCUAAACAAUAUAUAUUCAUGUAUGGGUCAAUAUAACUAAUUAAAUGAAAUAUAAGGGGAGUCCUCCCCCUACCCCCUCCUGUUUGAGAACUUGGAAACCGAUGAGAUCCCACCCCUAAACCAUAUAUAUUCAUGUAAGGGACAAUGUAACAAAUCAAAUGAAAUAUAGGGGAAGUCCCUGGGGUCAUCCUAUCCCUUCCUGUUAAAGAACUUGAAAACCCUCGAGAUCCCCACCCCUAAACCAUAAAUAUUCAUGUAUGGAACAAUAUAACAAAUCAAAUGAAAUAUAGGGGAAGUCCCUGGGGUCACCCUACCCCUUCCUGUUUGAGAACUUGAAAACCCUCUAGAUCCCCACCCCUAAACCAUAUAUAUAUUCAUGUAUGGGACAAUAUAACAAAUCAUUUACAUUUACUAUGGGCAGGUCAGUCAGACCUCACCUUUGAUCCUUGUAGUAGUGAACAUUUGUCUGAUUUGUUUUGCACAACUAUUGUACUAUAGAACACAUACUCAGUUUUCUUUACAGGGAAACCAGUCCAUUCAUACUAUUACAUGAUCGUAGUCAACUAAAACCAACGUAAACUACCAACUAGAACAACUACAAUCAUUGCGAACUUGUACCACUGCAGACUCACCAUAAAAAAAUAUACAUUUAUAUAUUCAUUGCUAUUGAAACCUUGAUAACGUAUAAAUUAUUUGCCUUAAUAAAUAAUUUAUUAGAUAAACAUAAAUGUACAAUAUAUGAAUGUUUAAUGCCACAUCAGAGGCGGAUUUAGAGGGUUUUUCAGUGGCCCUCCCCCCCCCCCCAUUUUUGAGAAAAAAUUUGGUUGAUUAUAUAGGGAAUCACUGAAGCAUGACUGGAGCAGGUCCCCUUUAGGCAGGGCAGUGGCCCCCACUGUAUGAAAAUUUCUGGAUCCGCCACUGCACAUAAUUACGUUUGCCUGGUUUUUGGUUAACUGCCUUCAGCGCUUACAGCGCUUUGAUUGACAAUAUUGAUGACUUGAGUAUACAAGUAUGGAAUAAUAAGUAACAAAACAGCCUUUGAGUUGAUCUUCAUAAUCUUUGAAAAAUUUGAAUGAAAAUAAAUGUAACAGAACAAAAAUUUAAAGAAUGAGUCACAUGGUCUGAUUACAAAGCAGUUAUAAAGAGGAUCUUCAGCAUUGAAAUGCAUAUAGUAUAUCAUGCUUAAUCCUUCUCACUUGUCAGGAAUUUUCAUGAUAAUAUCAAAUUUGGUAAACAAAAUCUGGUAGACUGAAACUCACAUCAUAUAAAGUUAUACAAUUAUUAUAUAAAUCAUAUGCCAAUGAACAUAAUUUACCUUGGUUAUCUAGAUAUUUGUACGGAAAUGACAAAAUUAUAAAUUGUCUCAAUAUUUAAUAUAAUAAUAGGAAGAUUUGGUAUAAAUGUGAAUGAUACAAAUAUCCAACAGAGGAUGUAAGCAACUAUAGGUUCUAUACUGUUUUCAAAAAUGAGCAAUAGAAAUGACCCAUCAUGGCUGAAUGUGAAACAGAGUAAAAACAAAGGCCUGUUUAUUCUUUCAGCAAUUAGUCAAAAUCUAAUAUGUUGGAGAGCAAAUUGAUUGUUUUAGUUGUUUUUGUAGCUUCAUAGUUAUUCUGGUUAUAUUUAUUGUUUUAGGCCAAAGUUAUAGAUGAGUAUGGUAAUGUUGUACCAUGUGAUACUCCUGGGGAGUUAUGUACACGUGGAUACACAACAAAGUUAGGAUACUGUUAUAUAAUUAUAUAGGAUAUAUUUUAUUGUUUUAGGCCAAAGUUAUAGAUGAGUAUGGUAAUGUUGUACCAUGUGAUACUCCUGGGGAAUUAUGUACACGUGGAUACACAACAAUGUUAGGAUACUGGAAUAAUCCGGCUAGAACAGCUGAUGUUAUCAAGCUGGACAGAUGGUACCAUACAGGGUAUAUAUGAAAUAUUUAUAUAAAAUUUUCUGAUGCUUAAAAGUUAGCAAGCAUUUUUAGUUUUUAUACUUAUUCCAAUGUUCCAUUUCAGGAAUUGAUAUCAUGCUCAUAUUUGAUCCUUUGUCUUUGAAUAGUAAUUUUUUAUGUUUACCAAACAAAAAAAUACGGGUCAAGUAGGAUAAACGGUACUGUAGUUCCUUUCGGAAGAACAGAGUAAUAAAUCGGUUUAACUUUAGAAGUAAAUCGGUGUAUAUGAACAUAAAUUUACAGACUGACAGGUCGACAGGUUGACACUAUAUAGGUCGACAAGUGUUAUGGCUGACAGGUUGACAGGUUGACAAGUGUUACGGUCGACAGGUUGACAGUUUGAUAAGUGUUAAGGUUGACAGGUUGACAAAUGUUAAGGUCGACAAGUUGACAGGUUGACAAAUGUUAAGGUCGACAGGUUGACAGGUUGAAGGGUUUAAUUUUACAAUUAAACAAGUGAAUAAAAGUACAUCAUCCAUUAGGCCACGGUUUUUUAAUUUGUUGGUUUACGGAUUUUCCCCAUGAAAAAGUCGGGUCGGUCGGUCGGGAAAAAAAAGAAAAAAAAAUCAUCUUUGAAGACAGAAAAAUAUGCAAAAUCAAUAUAUAUUUCACCUUUCUAACAAUAUGUUUGUUAUGCCAUUUUAUCACCAUUUCUUAAAUUUUAGUUCAAUGAAAUAUUAUUGCUCAGCUGUUAUAAACAUCGCAUGACAUUGUCUAAUAAUUUACAGUAAAAAAAAGGAGGGUGCACGGACAAAGAUGAAAUUAAAUCGUCAUUUCAGAAACAAGAAAAAUAGAUUCGCGUAGCUCUUAAUCAAUUCCAGAAAACUUGGUGAAUAAUGAUCUUCAAGCACGAAAACUGAUAAAGAAAAAAAAUGUAAAAACGUCGUACGAAAAUAAGUUUCAAACACGUGUCAAAAAACCUAAUAGACUUGUUCAUUGGAAAAACGAGAUUAUCGGGUCAAUCUGUUGUCUCACAUUCCCGUUUUUUAUACAAAUGGACGAUAAUUUUUUUAUUAUCUAUGAAACAAGAAAAUUCCAAAUGAUUUGUUAAUAUUCAAUACUUCAACUUGAUGCCUUCAACCUAUCCACAUUUGGACAAGUCUAUUUCUAUGAGAUGAUGCAUCUUACGGACUGAUGAAAAAUAAGGGAAACGAACUUAUUGUGUAAUUGGUUUUAAACACAAGUUUCGUUCCGCAAAAUUAUUUGUGCAAACGACAUUUCAAGGUCAGUUAUUAUGAUAAUUGAUUUGUCUAUAUUUAAAAACGUAAACUGGAAGUUUUAUUUUUUCACAACAGCAAGUGUUAUCAAUUUUGUUAGUGAUUAAUGCAUUUCAUUUCAUAAAAAAAAUUAUUUUAAUUAUUUUUCAGGGAUAAUGCAUUUCUUAGGGUCGGCGGGAAUAAAAAAGCAUGAAAAGUCAAUUUUAUUUUUAUUCUGGAAAUCGGCAAAAUCGGGUCGGCGGAUCCGUAAACCAACAAAUUAAAAAAUCCUGGCCUUAAAUAAAAUAAAAUUAACUUCAGUUUUUAACCUUUUUUUACAAGUAUUGAGUUAUAACUUUUAUAUCUUUUUUUCAAUCAGUCAUUUUGUCAACUUGUCAACCUGUCGACUUGUCAACCAUAACUUACUUGUUAUUAUAUUAAAUUAUCAACUUAUCAAUCUGUCAACCUGUCGACUUGUCAACCUGUCAACCACUUAUUUCAACCAUAACAUUUUUAAAAUUGUCAACCUGUCGACUUGUCAACCUGUCAACCACUUAUUCCAACCAUAACGUUUUUAAAAUUGUCAACCUGUCGACUUGUCAACCUGUAAAUCACUCAUUUAUUUCAGUUUAAUGUAAAAUUUAAACAGUUUUAACUUUAUUACUCAUGAAUACAUACGCGUAUGAAUUUAUUGCAAAAGCCGGAACUAUAGUACCGUAUAUCCUACUUGAGCCAAAAAUACUGGUAUAAAAAGGAAUAAAUUCAUUGCAAGGUCACUUUUCAAAUCAUCUAUACACAUCAACUUUAUUUCCUAAUGAUAACCUUGCUACCUUUCAUACAUUUUUGUGCAGCAUUUUAAGACAGAGUUGUUUAAUAUUGCACCAGAAACAAUAUGGCUUUAUUUCAUGGAUUUUUUAAUCAAAGAUGGAAUGAUCAAAAAUUAAACUUUCAUGGACAUUUGAUUACAUAUUUUGGCACAUUCAAAAAACAAGUCUUUAUUAAGAUUGAAUUCAUCGAAACACUGAAAUCUUUCUGGUUACGCCUACAUUUACAUAAUACACAAAAAUAAGUAUCCAAUGAAAUAUAAUGAAUCCACAGUAUAUCAAUUAUUUACCAUCCUCAAUAUCUUAGGUCUCAAUUAUGGCACGAUCCUUGUCAGUAUUAUUUGAGUAGCAAUGACCUACAUUUCAAACUUUAAAUUUGAUUAGGCUAUGAAAUUAGGGUCAAUUUGUAGACAUCUUUGGUAAUAAUAUUAAUUUCCAUCCCUACUAUUCAGAAAUUUAGGAGAAAUAUAUUUUUUUUUAAAAAGGCUUAUAUUUUGUCCUCAGAGAAUUUUUAGUAUGCUGUUCACAUUGAAUUUCUAAUGGUUCAUUGACAAAUGUGUUUUAUAUUACAGAGAUAUUGCAACCAUGGAUGAGGACGGCUACUGUUCUGUCGUAGGGAGGAUAACAGAUAUGAUCAUUAGAGGUGGUGAAAAUGUAUAUGCCUUCGAAAUAGAACAGGUUAUAUAUCAUCACCCUUGUGUUAAAGAUGUCCAGGUAGUUCAUUAAACAACUCUGUUAAUAAUAUAACUAGUUACAUCCAUCUUUUAUAAAUAGAUCAUUUGACUAGUUAAGAUCUUAAUAAUCUAAGUUUAUGUAAAUAAAAAAUUGAUUGUAUAUUCUAUCAUCACUUUGCCUCUCUGGCUCACCUGUUCAAAUGGAUAAAUAAGUUGUUGUUUUACAUUUUGUAUCCUUUUAUUUUCUUACAUAAUUUCCCCCUGCACCAAAGUAGGGGUAUCCUGAUUUACCUCUCUGUCUGUGCAACCCUUGCUGUCGCAAAUUAUAUCAAAUUUCUUUCAGGAACUAAAACUUCAGCUUUCCUUAGCUGCAGCUUCAUGAUGCGUUAGAAAAAAAACUUGAUUUCAAGACUUAUUCAUGUUGCUUUUUGACAAAAUGGAAAAAAAAACCCAGAAAAAUACAAAAUUUUAGUUAACACCAAUGAGAUGGAAUAACAUCAAUUAACAGUAAGAUAAGUUUGACAUUACCACAUGACCUUCAACAAUAACAAUGAGGAGGACCCUGGUUGGUCAUUUAUACAGUUUAUACCUGUAUAACAUUUGUUCUAUGUUAAUAAUUAACAGCUGCUACAUAACUCCUAAUCUUUAAAUCGAUAUAAAUGUUUAAUAAUAUGUUGUCUGUUUUAGGUUGUGGGUGUUCCUGUAGAGAGAUUAGGAGAAGAAAUAUAUGCUUUCAUAGAGUUUAAAGAAGGAUAUACAUGCACUGAGGAAAACAUUAAAGAUUACUUCAAAACCAGGGUAAAUAUAUUCUACUUUCAGUAAAUUAUGUCUGUUUCAGAAAAGAUUAUGAAAUUUAUUGAAUCUCCAUUUACUUUUGGAGCUAGAACCCCAAUGUUUAUAGCUAGAUUAGAUGCAGGGGUUUCAUUAUCUUUCAUGUUGACUGGUACUUUCCACGUUUCUAGGUGGUACUUUUCAAUUUAUUCCAUGAAUUAAUCUUAUAUAAAAAUUCCUACAUUUAGGUGGUACUUGUCUAUAGCAUAGGAGGGUAAAAGUACUGUAUACCACCUCCUAAUGAAUGGCCUGAUUAGAUGUUCUAUAAACACAUCUUUUAAUUGAUAAGAGUCAUAAAAGACACAGGCCUGAUGUAUCAACAGUCCAUGUCAUUACUAGAAAAAGUGAAAUGAAAACUUCAAUUUUUGUGCGAUAAAAAAGACAUUCAGAAGCUUAAAUUUAAAACAUUGUUUAUGUUGUAAACAUUGAAACCAAUUUUCUUGACAUUUAUAUCUUAAUGGCCAACCAAAGUCCUGUUCAUUGUUGAAUUUUUUCUUGCCAAAUGAUGAUGAUCUUUGAAAUUACAUUUACUACUAAGUGAAUACAAUAAAGAACAUUAGACAGGAGGAACAAAUUUACAAUUGUUAACAUUACAAAUUGUGUAAAGUUGAAUUUGAUAGUAAUGUUUAUUACAUAUAUUUCAGAUGGCUAGAUUUAAAGUACCUAGGUAUGUGAAAUUUGUUGAAGAAUUUCCUCUGACAGCUACAGGGAAAGUCCAGAAGUUUAAACUGAAAGAAGAAGCAAUGAGAGAUCUUAAUUUAAUUGACUAA